UAGAGUUGGGAUUGGCUCAGAUUGAACGCUGGCGGCAGGCUUAACACAUGCAAGUCGAGCGGAGUGAUGGUGCUUGCACUAUCACUUAGCGGCGGACGGGUGAGUAAUGCUUAGGAAUCUGCCUAUUAGUGGGGGACAACAUUUCGAAAGGAAUGCUAAUACCGCAUACGUCCUACGGGAGAAAGCAGGGGAUCUUCGGACCUUGCGCUAAUAGAUGAGCCUAAGUCGGAUUAGCUAGUUGGUGGGGUAAAGGCCUACCAAGGCGACGAUCUGUAGCGGGUCUGAGAGGAUGAUCCGCCACACUGGGACUGAGACACGGCCCAGACUCCUACGGGAGGCAGCAGUGGGGAAUAUUGGACAAUGGGCGCAAGCCUGAUCCAGCCAUGCCGCGUGUGUGAAGAAGGCCUUAUGGUUGUAAAGCACUUUAAGCGAGGAGGAGGCUACUGAAGUUAAUACCUUCAGAUAGUGGACGUUACUCGCAGAAUAAGCACCGGCUAACUCUGUGCCAGCAGCCGCGGUAAUACAGAGGGUGCAAGCGUUAAUCGGAUUUACUGGGCGUAAAGCGCGCGUAGGCGGCUAAUUAAGUCAAAUGUGAAAUCCCCGAGCUUAACUUGGGAAUUGCAUUCGAUACUGGUUAGCUAGAGUGUGGGAGAGGAUGGUAGAAUUCCAGGUGUAGCGGUGAAAUGCGUAGAGAUCUGGAGGAAUACCGAUGGCGAAGGCAGCCAUCUGGCCUAACACUGACGCUGAGGUGCGAAAGCAUGGGGAGCAAACAGGAUUAGAUACCCUGGUAGUCCAUGCCGUAAACGAUGUCUACUAGCCGUUGGGGCCUUUGAGGCUUUAGUGGCGCAGCUAACGCGAUAAGUAGACCGCCUGGGGAGUACGGUCGCAAGACUAAAACUCAAAUGAAUUGACGGGGGCCCGCACAAGCGGUGGAGCAUGUGGUUUAAUUCGAUGCAACGCGAAGAACCUUACCUGGCCUUGACAUAGUAAGAACUUUCCAGAGAUGGAUUGGUGCCUUCGGGAACUUACAUACAGGUGCUGCAUGGCUGUCGUCAGCUCGUGUCGUGAGAUGUUGGGUUAAGUCCCGCAACGAGCGCAACCCUUUUCCUUAUUUGCCAGCGAGUAAUGUCGGGAACUUUAAGGAUACUGCCAGUGACAAACUGGAGGAAGGCGGGGACGACGUCAAGUCAUCAUGGCCCUUACGGCCAGGGCUACACACGUGCUACAAUGGUCGGUACAAAGGGUUGCUACCUAGCGAUAGGAUGCUAAUCUCAAAAAGCCGAUCGUAGUCCGGAUUGGAGUCUGCAACUCGACUCCAUGAAGUCGGAAUCGCUAGUAAUCGCGGAUCAGAAUGCCGCGGUGAAUACGUUCCCGGGCCUUGUACACACCGCCCGUCACACCAUGGGAGUUUGUUGCACCAGAAGUAGGUAGUCUAACCGCAAGGAGGACGCUUACCACGGUGUUGGCCGAUGACUGGGGUGAAGUCGUAACAAGGUAAACCGUAAA
Molecule: ribosomal RNA, 1506 nt
Filed under: Acinetobacter calcoaceticus
Lineage: Bacteria; Pseudomonadati; Pseudomonadota; Gammaproteobacteria; Moraxellales; Moraxellaceae
Description: bacterial SSU rRNA
Rfam family: Bacterial small subunit ribosomal RNA
Source: RNAcentral